Molecule: long non-coding RNA, 283 nt
Filed under: Chinchilla lanigera (long-tailed chinchilla)
Lineage: Eukaryota; Metazoa; Chordata; Mammalia; Rodentia; Chinchillidae
Description: lncRNA (ENSCLAG00000023562.1)
Source: RNAcentral
CAAUGCCCCAGCAUCAUAUGUGGUUAAAGAAAAUCUGUUUCUGAGUUGUUUUUGUGGGUGUGGUCCACAGACAGAAUUGGUGACACAUCAGGGAAGAUGGCCAGCCGACCAAGAGCAAGUGGGGUACAAAGUGAUCUCACCACGGCAGCACAGGUGGGCCUGAAAAUUCUCCCAUGACUGAGAAGAAACUGACAGCAAUCACAUAGACUUCAUCACUAAACAAGUAGAAAACAUCAAAUAGGUAAUGGAAAAUGCUGAAUGAGGAUAGGAGGAAACAUUUAAA